CCUACGGGCGGCUGCAGUGGGGAAUAUUGCGCAAUGGGCGCAAGCCUGACGCAGCGACGCCGCGUGAGGGAUGAAGGUCUUCGGAUCGUAAACCUCUGUCAGCGGGGAAGAACGGUCACUGUGCUAAUCAUCAGUGCAUUGACGUUACCUGCAAAGGAAGCACCGGCUAACUCCGUGCCAGCAGCCGCGGUAAUACGGAGGGUGCGAGCGUUAAUCGGAAUUACUGGGCGUAAAGCGCUCGUAGGCGGUAUGUCAAGUCAAGGGUGAAAUCCCCGCGCUCAACGUGGGAACUGCCUGUGAAACUGGCAAACUGGAGUGUGUUAGAGGAUAGUGGAAUUCCAGGUGUAGGAGUGAAAUGCGUAGAGAUCUGGAGGAACACCAGUGGCGAAGGCGACUCUCUGGAACAUAACUGACGCUGAGGUGCGAAAGCGUGGGUAGCAAACAGGAUUAGAUACCCCUGUAGUC
RNAcentral lists this ribosomal RNA (465 nucleotides) under uncultured bacterium. RNAcentral describes it as "partial 16S ribosomal RNA". It matches the Rfam family "Bacterial small subunit ribosomal RNA", at positions 338 to 795 of the family's 1533-position model. The record is from RNAcentral.